AGAUGCUUUGAAACUUGGUGUGUGUGCUAAUGUACUUAAUUUGGUGAAUGUAGUAGUGGGGUCUCCACCAACUCUUCCAUGCUGCAGUUUGAUACAAGGACUGGCAAAUUUAGAGGUGGCAGCUUGUUUGUGCACAGCUAUAAGAGCAAACAUACUGGGCUUAAAUCUGAAUGUGCCACUCACUCUUAGCCUCAUUCUCAACAACUGUGGAAUGAAUAAUAGUGGCUUCACUUGCUAAGGCAUUCUGCUCUUUCUCUUAUAUAUGUCUUUAUCAUU
RNAcentral lists this unclassified non-coding RNA (276 nucleotides) under Hevea brasiliensis (rubber tree). Lineage: Eukaryota; Viridiplantae; Streptophyta; Magnoliopsida; Malpighiales; Euphorbiaceae. The record is from RNAcentral.